This 253-nucleotide ribosomal RNA is filed under the name uncultured bacterium. RNAcentral's name for it is "partial 16S ribosomal RNA". It matches the Rfam family "Bacterial small subunit ribosomal RNA", at positions 524 to 776 of the family's 1533-position model. The record is from RNAcentral.
UACGUAGGGGGCUAGCGUUGUCCGGAUUUAUUGGGCGUAAAGAGCGUGUAGGCGGCCAGGUAGGUCUGCUGUGAAAACUCGAGGCUCAACCUCGAGAUGUCGGCGGAAACCAUCUGGCUAGAGUCCGGAAGAGGAAAGUGGAAUUCCUGGUGUAGCGGUGAAAUGCGCAGAUAUCAGGAAGAACACCCGUGGCGAAGGCGGCUUUCUGGGACGGUACUGACGCUGAGGCGCGAAAGCUAGGGUAGCAAACGGG